UACGUAGGGGGCAAGCGUUGUCCGGAUUUAUUGGGCGUAAAAGGCUUGUAGGUGGCCACGCCAAUCCGGAUGUGAAAUCUCCCGGCUCAACUGGGAGGGGUCAUUCGAUACUGGCGGGCUCGAGGCCGGUAGGGGGAAGUGGAAUUCCCGGUGUAGUGGUGGAAUGCGUAGAUAUCGGGAGGAACACCAGUGGCGAAGGCGGCUUCCUGGACCGGUUCUGACACUGAGGAGCGAAAGCGUGGGGAGCGAUCCGG
Molecule: ribosomal RNA, 254 nt
Filed under: uncultured bacterium
Lineage: Bacteria
Description: partial 16S ribosomal RNA
Rfam family: Bacterial small subunit ribosomal RNA
Source: RNAcentral